This 483-nucleotide ribosomal RNA is filed under the name uncultured bacterium. RNAcentral's name for it is "partial 16S ribosomal RNA". It matches the Rfam family "Bacterial small subunit ribosomal RNA", at positions 28 to 507 of the family's 1533-position model. The record is from RNAcentral.
GACGAACGCUGGCGGCGUGCCUAACACAUGCCAGUCGAGCGGGGAUUUAAGUGGAAGUUCUUCGGAAUGGAGAUUUAAAUUCUAGCGGCGGACGGGUGAGUAACGCGUGAACAAUCUGUCCCGGACAGGGGGAUAACACUUGGAAACAGGUGCUAAUACCGCAUAAGACCACGGCCUCGCAUGGGGCUGAGGUAAAAGGAGCAAUCCGGUUCGGGGUGAGUUCGCGUCCGAUUAGCUAGUUGGUGAGGUAACGGCCCACCAAGGCGACGAUCGGUAGCCGGCCUGAGGGGGUGAACGGCCACAUUGGAACUGAGAGACGGUCCAAACUCCUACGGGAGGCAGCAGUGGGGAAUAUUGGGCAAUGGGCGAAAGCCUGACCCAGCAACGCCGCGUGAGGGAAGAAGGUUUUCGGAGUGUAAACCUCUGUCCUAUGGGACGAAGGAAGUGACGGUAGCAUAGGAGGAAGCCCCGGCUAACUACGUG